Molecule: small nucleolar RNA, 105 nt
Organism: Elaeis guineensis (African oil palm)
Lineage: Eukaryota; Viridiplantae; Streptophyta; Magnoliopsida; Arecales; Arecaceae
Source: RefSeq, a predicted model, not a curated record
AUCAUGUGGUGGGGGCACUUGCAGGUAAGGUCUUUGAGCCUCUCUCAAGUUUUAUGGAACAUUUCUCCAUCCAUCUAAAAAAAACUAGUAAUGGCUUUUCUGAUU